Molecule: ribosomal RNA, 3189 nt
Filed under: Triticum aestivum (bread wheat)
Lineage: Eukaryota; Viridiplantae; Streptophyta; Magnoliopsida; Poales; Poaceae
Description: partial small subunit ribosomal RNA
Source: RNAcentral
AUGGAGAAGACGGCCCUGAGCGUUGGCAAGUCCGUGCUGAAUGGAGCGAUUAGAUACGCCACAUCCGCCCUGGCAGAGGAGGUGGCUCUGCAGCUCGGACGGCGCGACCAGGUAUUCAUCACCAAUGAGCUCGAGAUGAUGCAGGCUUUCCUUGAGUCUGCUCAUGACGAGGGAGAUGGCAACAGGGUGGUCAAGGUCUGGGUGAAGCAAGUCCGCGACGUAGCCUACGACGUCGAGGACACACUCCAGGAGUUCGCCGUGCGCCUCCAGAAGCAAUCUUGGUGGCGUAUCCGUCGCAACCUACUCGACCGGCGUCGUGUGGCAAUGCAGAUGAAGGACCUCAGAGCCAAUGUUGAGGAUGUCAGCCAGAGAAACAUGCGCUACAGUCUCAUCAAGGGCUCUGGAUCCAAGGCCGCCAUGGCUUCAGAGCAGUCUAGCAUUACUUCUGCAGCACUGUUUGGCAUCGAUGAAGCAAGGCAUGCAAUGAAGCAGGAGAAAUCAAAAGUAGAACUUGUCCAGCUCCUCAACGAGAAGGAGAAUGACCUUAGGGUAAUUGCAGUGUGGGGAACAAGUGGUGAUCUCGGGCAGACUUCCAUCAUCAGGACGGUGUAUGAGGAUCCAGAUAUUAAAAGCAAGUUCUCAUGCCGAGCUUGGGUCAGAGUGAUUCAUCCUUUUAAUCCAAAAGAUUUUGUUCAGAGUUUGGUGCAGCAGUUUGAUGCAGCCCUAGGGGUUGAUGCUCUGUUGAAAAUGGAGAAGACAUUGCAAGAGUUGGCUGAAGAGUUUAAUAGAUAUGUGAACAGUAAAAGGUACCUGAUUGUACUUAAUGACCUGUCCACUCUUGAGGAGUGGGAUCUGAUCAAAAGGUGCUUCCCAGACAAGACAAUGGGGAGCAGGAUCAUAGUGUCCACAGCUCAAGUUGAAGUUGCAAGAUUAUGUGCAGCGCGGGAAAGCAUAGUAUCAGUGCUUAGGUGCAUGUCUGCUGAUCAGCGUAUUUAUGCUUUCCACGAGAAGGUCUCUCAAGAUGGAAGAGGUUUAGAGUCAAGCGCAGAUCAUGUCACUACGACUACAAAUAACAACUCUAUAGUGCCCACUGGUGGAGCUGCUGAAAAAAAUACCAUAAAAAAGAGCUUGACUCGCGCCAGGACAAUGAUGAAUGCUUUGGAGGAAUCUCAUCUUAUUGGGCGAGAGAAAGAAAAAUAUGAGAUUAUCAAGCUUAUUUCAAAUCAAGCUACCCAAGAAUACCAGGUGAUCUCUGUGUGGGGAAUGGGUGGUCUAGGAAAGACCACUCUAGUCAAAGAUAUCUACGAAAACCAAGAGCUGGGUAGCACAUUUGAGAAGCGUGCUUGUGUCACAGUUAUGCGUCCUUUCAAUCUUGAAGUUCUUCUUAGGAGCUUAAUUAUGCAACUAGAUAGAGAAUCUUCAGAUAAGAAAGACGUGGUCAGUUUGAUGGGCAAGAGAAGGAACACAUUACUAUUGAUGCCACUAAUAGCACUUAUUAAGGAGAUGGAAAGUCUUUUAGAAGGAAAGAGGUGCUUGAUUGUUCUUGAUGAUGUAUCAUCUACUGCAGAAUGGAACAUGAUAGUACCAAAUUUCCAUGGAAUGGAACAUACAAGCCGGAUCGUGGUCACCACAAGGGAAGAAAAUAUAGCUAAACUUUGUUCACAGAGACAAGAAAAUAUAUACAUGCUCAAAGAUCUAGAACACAAGGAUGCACGUGACCUCUUCACUAAAAAGGUAUUCAAGAAGACUACUGAUUUGAAUUUGCAAUAUCCAGAGCUAGUUGAACAGACAGAACAGAUUCUUAGAAGGUGUGGUCGACUCCCCCUUGCAAUAGUCACCAUAGGUGGCUUCUUGUCGAACCAACCUAAAACCUCUUUGGAAUGGAGGAAAUUGAAUGAUAAUAUCAAUUCUGAGUUGGAGAUUAAUCCAGAGCUUGGGACCAUUAGAACUAUCCUGAUGAGAAGCUAUGAUGGUUUACCUUAUCACCUCAAGUCAUGUUUCCUAUAUAUGCCCAUCUUUCCUGAAGAUUACAAGAUUGGCCGGGGCCGCUUGGCACGUCGGUGGAGUGCAGAGGGUUAUUCAAGGGAGGUGCGGGGCAGGUCUGCAGAGGAAAUAGCGGACAACUACUUCAUGGAACUUAUAAGCAGGAGUAUGAUCCUACCAUCUCAACAAUCAAUUCAAAGUACAAAAGGAAUAGAUUCCUGCCAAGUCCACGAUCUUAUCCGUGAAAUUGGUGUCUCAAAGUCGAUGGAAGAAAAUCUUGUUUUUACACUUGAGGAAGGUUGCAGCUCAAAUAGCCAGGCCACGGUGCGCCACCUGGCUAUAAGCAGCAACUGGAAAGGAAACAAGACCGAGUUUGAGAGCAUAGUGGACAUGUCCCGUCUACGGUCAAUCACAUGUUUCGGAGAGUGGAAGGCAUUUUUUGUUUGUGACAAGAUGAGGUUGCUACGAGUGCUGGACCUGGAAGACGCAACCGGUCUACAUGAUCAUCACCUUAAGCACAUCGGGAAGUUUCUUCACCUAAGAUACCUUUCUCUAAGAGGAUGUGAUAUUGUUCACCUUCCAGAUUCAUUGGGCAACCUGAGACAGCUUGAGACACUAGACAUUAGAGGUACCAAAAUAAUGAUGCUGCCAAAGUCAAUCGUCAAGCUACGGAAGCUAAACAAUCUUCGUGCUGGGAGGAUUCUGCUGGAUGAGGAUGCCUCACUAGAACUGAUAGAGGAUUAUUUGCCAGAGGUAUUGAAGAACGGGCCAUGCAAUUUAUUUUUCUGGAUGGUGUUAUCUUGUUAUGCCUGUUUACUGUCUUCCAAUGAUACUGACCUGAGCCACCGAGCUAUAUGCACUUUGUUCUGCUGCUCCAUAUUCCCUGCUGCGUUGAUGCGCCUGGAACUAAAUGGGGUUCUAGUGCCAAGAGGAAUGAGGAAACUAGAAGCCCUGCGUACACUGGGUGUUGUGAACAUUGGGCGACGGGGAAAGGAUGUUGUAAAGGACAUAAAACGGCUUGUUCGUCUGCGUAAGUUGGGAGUGACCGGCAUCAAUAAGAGAAACGGGCAAGAGCUAUGUUCUGCAGUUGUUGGCCUGAGCCGUCUGGAAUCAUUGUUGAUACGGUCAGAGGGGGAGCCAGGUUUAUGUGGCUGCUUGGAGGGAAAGUUCACGUUUCCAGAGACACUGCAGAGCCUCAAGUUGUAG